This is a long non-coding RNA of Fundulus heteroclitus (mummichog), 541 nucleotides long. RefSeq lists it as uncharacterized. The transcript is spliced from 2 exons. Lineage: Eukaryota; Metazoa; Chordata; Actinopteri; Cyprinodontiformes; Fundulidae. The record is from RefSeq and is a predicted model, not a curated record.
UGAACAGUUCCAGAUGAUUUCAGGGAGAAAAUGAUCCACGUAGAAACAGGACUGAAUGUUUUACAGCGUAGAAAUAAAGAAAGAUUAGAGUCCAGCUAAAGCUGUCAGAUCUCCUCCCAGAGUUUCUGCUGAUCACUUCCUGGUUUACAGAGAACAAAACUACUGAAUGCAAUAAAAUGUUGACUGGAAAUGAGCUGAAAACUGAGAAGAAACCUGAAAAACACACAAGUUUCACCCUGACCUCAGAGUUUUACAGCUCAGUUCACUGUUGAUGCAAAGAGAAGAAGAACUGAAAGUAAAGGUGUUUAAACUCAGGUAAACUCACCUUGACAGGGGGCGGAGCCUCAGGUGAGUCAGUUACAGUCAGGUAUCAGAUCAGGAGAAACAGGUUCUGACUCCAUUUAGUAGCAGAACAGAACAAAGAGAAGACUCUGGAUCAGGGCUGACUGAAGUCCAGAAGAUGGAGGAUUGUGAUCUAAAGGAGGACAGAGCAGAACCUCCAGGAUCCAGCUGUCCAUCUAUGAGGAGUGACCGGUCCAGA